AACAAACGCUGGCGGCGUGCCUAAUACAUGCAAGUCGAACGGGGAAAGUAGCAAUACGAGUACUAGUGGCGCACGGGUGAGGAAUACAUGGGUAAUCUGCCCUCGAGCUCGGGAUAACCAGUCGAAAGACUGGCUAAUACCGGAUAUGACCACAAGAUCUGAGGAUCAAGGGGUAAAAGGUUUUUUCGCUUGAGGAUGAGCCCAUGUGGGAUUAGCUAGUUGGUGUAGGUAACGGCUCACCAAGGCGACGAUCCCUAACUGGUCUUAGAGGAUGAUCAGUCACACUGGAACUGAGACACGGUCCAGACUCCUACGGGAGGCAGCAGUAGGGAAUAUUGCACAAUGGAGGAAACUCUGAUGCAGCGACGCCGCGUGAGUGAUGAAGGCCUUCGGGUCGUAAAGGCUCUGUCGUA
This 413-nucleotide ribosomal RNA is filed under the name uncultured bacterium. RNAcentral's name for it is "bacterial SSU rRNA". It matches the Rfam family "Bacterial small subunit ribosomal RNA", at positions 29 to 440 of the family's 1533-position model. The record is from RNAcentral.